Cebus imitator (Panamanian white-faced capuchin) is the source of this 547-nucleotide RNA transcript. It is a transcript of the gene named interleukin-32-like, with no coding region annotated. The record is from RefSeq and is a predicted model, not a curated record. The transcript has a single exon. Lineage: Eukaryota; Metazoa; Chordata; Mammalia; Primates; Cebidae.
AUGUGUUUCGCCAAGGUCCACUCUGAUAACAAUAAGAAUCAGAAGGCCCAACUGUGUCAGCCCUUUGAAAAAUUUGCUGAUGUGAUGGAAAAUUGAGAAUCAAAACAGGAAAGGUGAAGUCGAGCAUGAAAGAGCUGGAAGACAACGUCAAAGUGUGGUGUCUGGACACUGUGGCGGCUCAGUAUCAGAGACAGCACCUGGAGCUCACUCCUCCACUUGAGAAAGAAGGAGAUUAAUUAUGGUGCAGAGGCAACAGACUCCCUGUCCUAGAAGUUGAGGAUCCUGAAAUCAAGGAGCACAAGGAGCGCUUUUGUGACAAGGUCAGGAGAUGGUUCCAGGCCACACUGCAGUGGCUGCAGACUUGGUGGCAGAUGGUUGUGGCCUGGGUGAAGGAGAACGUGGAGGCCCUGGUCCAUGCAGUGCAGACCCUCUGGAAAGAGUUGGAGAGUUUCUGCUGCUCUGUGACAGAGUUCUUCAUGUCCUUUUUACAGUCCCAAGGAGCCCCCUGAGGGGAUGGAGGAGCUGACACCCCAGAAGUACUCUGAAC